GAUGAACGCUGGCGGCGUGCCUAAUACAUGCAAGUCGAGCGAACAGACGAGGAGCUUGCUCCUCUGACGUUAGCGGCGGACGGGUGAGUAACACGUGGAUAACCUACCUAUAAGACUGGGAUAACUUCGGGAAACCGGAGCUAAUACCGGAUAAUAUAUUGAACCGCAUGGUUCAAUAGUGAAAGACGGUUUUGCUGUCACUUAUAGAUGGAUCCGCGCCGCAUUAGCUAGUUGGUAAGGUAACGGCUUACCAAGGCAACGAUGCGUAGCCGACCUGAGAGGGGGAUCGGCCACAAUGGAACUGAGACACGGUCCAGACUCCUACGGGAGGCAGCAGUAGGGAAUCUGCCGCAAUGGGCGAAAGCCUGACGGAGCAACGCCGCGUGAGUGAUGAAGGUCUUCGGAUCGUAAAACUCUGUUAUUAGGGAAGAACAAAUGUGUAAGUAACGAUGCACGUCUUGACGGUACCUAAUCAGAAAGCCACGGCUAACUACGU
This 496-nucleotide ribosomal RNA is filed under the name uncultured bacterium. Its description in RNAcentral is "partial 16S ribosomal RNA". It matches the Rfam family "Bacterial small subunit ribosomal RNA", at positions 28 to 506 of the family's 1533-position model. The record is from RNAcentral.